CCUACGGGUGACAGCAGUGAGGAAUAUUGGUCAAUGGGCGGGAGCCUGAACCAGCCAAGCCGCGUGAGGGAAGAAGGUACAGCGUAUCGUAAACCUCUUUUGUCAGGGAACAAAGGCGGGGACUAGUCCCCGGAUGGGGGUACCUGAAGAAAAAGCCUCGGCUAACUCCGUGCCCGCCGCCGCGGGAAUACGGAGGAUGCGAGCGUUAUCCGGAUUUAUUGGGUUUAAAGGGUGCGCAGGCGGCCUUUUAAGUCAGCGGUAAAAGACCGGGGCUCAACCCCGGCGAGCCGUUGAAACUGGGGGGCUGGAGUGGGAGAGAAGUACGCGGAAUGCGCGGUGUAGCGGUGAAAUGCUUAGAUAUCGCGCAGAACCCCGAUUGCGAAGGCAGCGUACCGGCGCCACACUGACGCUGAGGCACGAAAGCGUGGGUAUCGAACAGGAUUAGAUACCCGGGUAGUC
Molecule: ribosomal RNA, 459 nt
Filed under: uncultured bacterium
Lineage: Bacteria
Description: partial 16S ribosomal RNA
Rfam family: Bacterial small subunit ribosomal RNA
Source: RNAcentral